This 503-nucleotide ribosomal RNA is filed under the name uncultured bacterium. RNAcentral's name for it is "bacterial SSU rRNA". It matches the Rfam family "Bacterial small subunit ribosomal RNA", at positions 28 to 522 of the family's 1533-position model. The record is from RNAcentral.
GACGAACGCUGGCGGCGUGGAUUAGGCAUGCAAGUCGAACGGUAUCAUCCUUUCGGGGGUGAGAGAGUGGCGAACUGGUGAGUAACACGUAGGUUAUCUACCCUCAAGACGGGGACAACCCAGGGAAACUUGGGGCUAAUACCGGAUGUGAGCAACUUUUAGUUGUUUGAAAGGUGGCGUAAGCUGUCGCUUGGGGAUGAGCCUGCGUCCUAUUAGUUAGUUGGUGAGGUAACGGCUCACCUAGGCAAUGAUAGGUAGGCGGCCUUAACGGGUGGUCGCCCACACUGGGAUUGAGAUACGGCCCAGACUCCUACGGGAGGCAGCAGUCGAGAAUAGUCUACAAUGGUCGGAAGACUGAUAGUGCGACGCCGCGUGAACGAUGAAUCCCUUCGGGGUGUAAAGUUCUUUUAUAUGUGAGCAGUGCUUCUUAUAUUAACAGUAUGGGGAGAGAGAUAUUAGCAUAUGAAUAAGCAACGGCUAACUCCGUGCCAGCAGCCGCGGGU